GAGUUUGAUCGUGGCUCAGAGUGAACGCUGGCGGCAGGCCUAACACAUGCAAGUCGAACGGCAGCACAGCAGUAGCAAUACUGUGGGUGGCGAGUGGCGGACGGGUGAGGAAUACAUGGGAAUCUACCCUGUCGUGGGGGGAUAACGUAGGGAAACUUACGCUAAUACCGCAUACGACCGAGAGGUGAAAGCGGCGGACCGCAAGGCGUCGCGCGAUUGGAUGAGCCCAUGUCGGAUUAGCUAGUUGGCGGGGUAAAGGCCCACCAAGGCGACGAUCCGUAGCUGGUCUGAGAGGAUGAUCAGCCACACUGGAACUGAGACACGGUCCAGACUCCUACGGGAGGCAGCAGUGGGGAAUAUUGGACAAUGGGCGCAAGCCUGAUCCAGCCAUGCCGCGUGAGUGAAGAAGGCC
This 412-nucleotide ribosomal RNA is filed under the name uncultured Gammaproteobacteria bacterium. RNAcentral describes it as "bacterial SSU rRNA". It matches the Rfam family "Bacterial small subunit ribosomal RNA", at positions 9 to 416 of the family's 1533-position model. Lineage: Bacteria; Pseudomonadati; Pseudomonadota; Gammaproteobacteria. The record is from RNAcentral.